RNAcentral lists this non-coding RNA (84 nucleotides) under unclassified sequences. Its description in RNAcentral is "pemK RNA". It matches the Rfam family "pemK RNA". The record is from RNAcentral.
ACAAUGAUACUCCUGCCCAGCCACAGCUUCUUCACGCAAUGGGGGCAGCUCGGAGCGAUCCUCGGAGGGGUGAAAGUCCCGUGA